CUUCGCCAGUUGUUGAGGGAGGAGGACGGCGAGAGAGGGUGACCUGCAAGCCAAACACACACACGCACACACCCAAGUACACCUUCACCGGCUUUCGUAGAGAAGGUCGUUUUAUCCGCCAUGAUGCGUUCUCAGGGGGAUCACUCUGUGAGCAGCGACUCGGCCGCUGCGCAAGGUCGUUUCAAGCGGCAGCGCGAACGCGAGGCGGAGGCGAAGCGUCAGGAGCAGCGUGUUGAGGAUGUGCUGGCCCACACAACCCACAUCGUCGACACGAUUGCCUCUAUCAACGGCAAGUACGUGCUCAGCCUCAAUGGUGAGCGGGCGCGACUCGCGCACCAGGUAACGGAGCUGCAGAAGCGACUGACGAAGCACCAGCUGCAGCAUGCCGAGGACACCACUCAACGCGUGUUAAGUGAUCUCGCGCGUCUUCGCGGCGCGGUGACGAGCAGCGUCAAGGAUCAACUCAUCGAGUCGCUGCUGAACGAAGCAGAAAGGGGCCGCGGCUAUGCCUUCGACGCCGUGUGCGCGCACGUGGACGAGGCCCUUCACGGGACCCUCACCGUGGCCGAGGCCGAGCUGUCGGCCGAGCGACAACUAAAUCGGACGCUUGUGGAACAGCUAAUGAGCUACACACAAACCAUCUUAAGGGAAGUGAAGGGCGCCACGUCGCGCGCCUUUACGGCCGAGGUGGAGGUGAUGCAGCGCGACGUGCUCGUGGCAAAGCUGCGGGCGGCGUGCACGUUUGCCGAGAACCGACUGGUUCGCCAUGAGCAGGAGGUGGACGCCCUCAUGCGGGUGGUGGCGCAGCUCGCCGAGAAGAGCCGCUACGCCGAGUCGGCUCGGGCAGAUGUGCGCCGAGUAAAGCACCACGUACGCUUACUGGAACAACACCUCGGACUGAACGAGAUUGUGGCUGCCGUGCGGGCCGAGGUGGCGCGUGCAUCUUCGGACGCAUAUGCGGAGACGCAGCGAAAGAGUGCACCGCCUGCACCGCCGGAUCCGUCACUGCGGUCUAGCGCGCCGCACUACUACGCUCUCAAGAUGCUGGAGCACAAGGAGAUGACACUGACGGAUCUCGUGGACUCGUGGCAGCAGCAAGAGUCGCGAAUUAUGGAGGCAGAGCAGCGGUAUGCGUGCCUCGAAGGCGUCGUGAAGCGUGUGCAACAUGAUGCCCUCGUUGUGCACCAACGCUACCUGGAGGAGAAGCAGCGUCGCGAGAUUGCCGACAGACGCAUUACGGACAUGGUGCGGGAGCGGCUCCACCCACAGAAAGACCCAGCCAUCUCGCAGGAGGUGCAGCGGCUGCGGUGGGCGUAUACGGAGGUGGUGGACGACGCCGCACAGCUGGCCGUGAACUUAAAGGUGUGCCGCGACGAGCUUCGACGCGCGCAGGAGGAGGCGGCUUGUUUGUCUGCCCAAGUCCGGCAGCUGCAGAGGGAUGCCGAAAUGGACCAGGUGGCGCUAGCGAUCCAAGAACUGCGCAGCGAGUACACCGCGCGUGUGCGUGACCUCGAGGAGUCAUCGACGCGAACCGAGAUGCAGCUGAGACUUGCCCAGAGCGUGUCGACGCAGUACAGGGCCGCCGCCACCGAGGCUACUGCAGCACUGCAGCGGGUCGCGCAAGCUAACACGGAGCUGAGUACGGCGGCUCUGCAGGUGGUUUCUGAUGACCCUGGCUCCGUUGCACGCUCAAACGCCGCGUGGAGGGAGGAGGUGGAGCGGAUAGAGACGCAAUCGGAAAAUGUUCUCGCGAUGAUUAAGCUCAUGGCGGGGUUUGAAAGUUCGCAGGCCAACCUGUAUGAUGCUCAGCUCAAAGAGCUGAUGCGGCAGUGGACACUCGCGCGGGAGGCGGAGAAGGCAGCGAUGACUUCCUCUGCUGCUGCUGAAGACCUGCGCAGCGAGGGAGGGCUGAUGGCCGUCAGCCGCGAAGCGGUCGACGACGGCACCGAGUCGCGCACACUUGUCUCCUCGUCCAUCGCUGCCGAGGAAUCGAUGGACAAGAUGAAUGCCGUGCUGGGUGCCUCUCAGUUUGCGCUGCGUGAGGCGCUUGUGCUGCUGAAUACGUCCUUGCAGAGCACGGACGUGGAGAGGUCACACCUUGUGGAUACUUCUCUUUCAGAUGCGCAGUGUGUCUCAGAGUUGAUGGCAGAGGUGCGGCGUGUCACAGCAGAGCGUGACAGGCUGCGUGCACAGGUGAAGGUGUGCCAGGAGUUGCUGGAGAAGAACCAUGUGACGGUGGUGGAGCGGGCGCUGAUGCAUGACAUUCCAGUGGAGGACUCUCUCAACGUGGCCGAGGCCACAGAGCGCAUCGAGGUGCUGAAGAAUCAGCUGGCGGCGGCCAAGCAGGUGUGCGAGCGCUCUUUGAACGAGGUGAAGCAGGCCACAGCCGAGAAGGAUGACGUCGAGCUGCGUUUCACACAGCUGAAGCGCGAGCACGAGGUGUUGCAGGGCCACUCGAGCCGUCUCAAGGACAAGCUGCACAGGAGCCUGGCGAGGGAGUCUGAACUGAUGGAGAAAAAUAUGGCGCUGCAGACACAGCUCACAGACCUCGUCCAGCCGCCGAGCGCCCCCGCACAGGAGGCAGAGGCGUCGUCGACUGCACUGCAGACUACCGCGACUCACCUCACGGACCUCUUCUCGUCUCUCCAGGAGUCGCUGGGCAGCCUCAACGCGGAGAUCAUUUCCCUGCGCCGCGAGCGUUUCGAUGAGGCCUCAAUAGACGCGGACGCUGGCAGCGGCGGCAAUAACGGCGCUGCCGCUGGAGGCGCCGAAGACACACUUUUAGUCGACUCCUUGAGUCGCUCCGGUAUGAUGAACAUCGUUCGUGUGCUAAAGGAUACGCUGCACAAGGCCGGUCUGCUGAAGGCCUCACUGAAGAGUUUCGCUGGGGCUCAGGCUAUCGGCCUGUGUGCUGCUGCCAAGGUGUGCGAAAGCGGUGCUGGAGGCAGCGGUGGUGCGACGGCUGCAAGCGUCGUGCCGCAUCCAUCGCCUGAGACGCAGCAGCGGGCACUCGAGUACCGCUCUUCUCUGCUCGAAGCCAAGCUCGCGAGCAUGGAGGCAGAACGGCUGGAGAUGCAGGAGCGCGUGCAAAAGGCGGAGAAGACGACGGCAGACAUGGAGGCGGCGAAUCAGCGACUCCUCACCAUCUCCAAAAGUGUGAUGGAGAAGCACAACAUGCUCAAGACAGAAAACGAGCAGCUUCGGGCGCAGCUGCUACAGCUAACUGCCGCCACAAACGCUGCAUCCACACCGCGGCCAGAGCCUCACGCGACGUCAUCUGUCCCAGAUAUGCAUGCGGUUGAGGCCCCCGUCUCAUCCCAGCACGUCGUGUUCAGUUCGACCGCUGCUCCCACGUCUUCGACAUCAGCGGCCACGCAACCGUCAGCACCGCCUGCUCGUGAUGGCUCGUCUGCUGCGAAUGCGUGCGUGGCCGAGUCUGCGGCGCCGAGCGCGGAGGAGCAGGGGGAGGGGGAGGAGGCCGAGAGGGUGCCUGAGAGUAUGGCUGCCAGCAUGGACGUCGUACUCCCAUCGGCGCCAAUGGACGAGGAGCUCAUCCCGGAGACGGGGCCAUCGACAGGCUCUGAAACAUGAUGUAGCGGAGGGCGGCGUCCCGGCCAUGGGAGUGAUGGAGACGCACAUGUGGGCAGGCUACGCGUCUCUCUCUCUCUCCCGUUACUUGUCCGUGUCUAAUUGGAGCGUGUUGUCGUUGCUUGCUGCGGUGUUGGUGCCGGUGUGCGGUGGACGCUGUGAAGCGCCGCAGGUGGGAGGGGGAUUUGGAGGAGGACGGGUCCGUCGGGGGGGGGCGGGGGCUGAGGAUGUGUUGAAAAGCCCGCGAGCGAUUCAUGACCUCACCCCGUGCUUCGUUGUGCCCCUCGCCCCCUCCUCCACACCCCUUUGCAGGUGGGCAAGCCGUGUGCGAAAAAAAAAGAUCAUCGAAGAGGACUCCAGCGAGACGGCCGGAGUGGCGGCCAACGGGCAGGCGCCAAAAGGCAGCACCAAUGCCAGGGGAGGGGCCAGGAACACGUAUAUUGUGUGGCGGCGUUGCUGGUUUCUCUGCCGCUUCCCAGCAAAAUGAUCACUC
This 4081-nucleotide unclassified non-coding RNA is filed under the name Leishmania donovani. RNAcentral's name for it is "gene:LdHU3.25.0330(CDS-product:hypothetical_prote in_conserved)". The record is from RNAcentral. Lineage: Eukaryota; Euglenozoa; Kinetoplastea; Trypanosomatida; Trypanosomatidae.